Molecule: small nuclear RNA, 329 nt
Filed under: Erinaceus europaeus (western European hedgehog)
Lineage: Eukaryota; Metazoa; Chordata; Mammalia; Eulipotyphla; Erinaceidae
Description: 7SK RNA
Rfam family: 7SK RNA
About the family: 7SK was discovered as an abundant small nuclear RNA in the mid-70s but a possible function has only recently been suggested. Two independent studies have found that 7SK RNA binds the CDK9/cyclin T complex (known as elongation factor P-TEFb).
Source: Rfam by way of RNAcentral
GAAUGUGAAGGUGAUCUGGCUGCGACAUCUGUCAUCCCAUUAUUCACCGGGGUUGAUUCCACUAAUCUGGCUGGCUAGGCAGGUGUCCCCUUCCUCACUCACCACUCCAGUGUGUCCCUCCUGAAGCUGAGUGCUUGGUGAAAGAGGACGGCCUUCCCCGAAUAGAGAGAUUGGUCUUCCAUCAAGGGUAUAUGAGUAACAGCGAUCCCCUGCCAGAACCUCCAAACUCGCUCUCAAGUUCCAUUUGUAGGAGAACGUAGGGUAGUCAAACUUCCAAGACUCCAGACACAUCCAAAUGAGACGCUACAUAUUGAAGUCUGCCUUUCUUU